AAUAUUGCAAAAUGGGGGCAAACCUGAUCCAGCCAUGCCGGGUGUAUGAAGAAGGCAUUCGGGUUUAAAGUCUUUUCGCGGGGAGGAAGGGGUAAAGUUAAUACCUUUGCUCAUUGUCGUUCCGACAAAAGAAGCACCGGCUAAUUCCGUGCCACCACGGAGUUUAUUAGGUGGGUACAAGCUUUAAUUGGAAUUACUGGGCGUAAAGCGGAGGCAGGGGGUUUGUAAAGUUAGAUGGGUAAUCCCCGGGGUUAACCUGGGAACUGCAUUUGAUACUGGCAAGCUGAGUUUCGUAGGGGGGGGUAGAAUUUCAGGGUAGGGGGAAAUGUGUAAAAUCUGGAAGAAUCCCGUGGGGAAAAAAGCCCUUGGACGAAGUUGACGCUCAGGUUGGAAAGGGGGGGAGCAAACAAGAUUGAUACCCGGUAGUCCACCCCGUA
This 437-nucleotide ribosomal RNA is filed under the name uncultured marine bacterium. Its description in RNAcentral is "partial 16S ribosomal RNA". It matches the Rfam family "Bacterial small subunit ribosomal RNA", at positions 360 to 804 of the family's 1533-position model. The record is from RNAcentral.